GACGAACGCUGGCGGCGUGCCUAAUACAUGCAAGUUGAGCGCUGAAGGUUGGUACUUGUACCAACUGGAUGAGCAGCGAACGGGUGAGUAACGCGUGGGUAAUCUGCCUUUGAGCGGGGGACAACAUUUGGAAACGAAUGCUAAUACCGCAUAAAAACUUUAAACACAAGUUUUAAGUUUGAAAGAUGCAAUUGCAUCACUCAAAGAUGAUCCCGCGUUGUAUUAGCUAGUUGGUGAGGUAAAGGCUCACCAAGGCGAUGAUACAUAGCCGACCUGAGAGGGUGAUCGGCCACAUUGGGACUGAGACACGGCCCAAACCCCUACGGGAGGCAGCAGGAGGGAAUCUUCGGCAAUGGACGAAAGUCUGACCGAGCAACGCCGCGUGAGUGAAGAAGGUUUUCGGAUCGGAAAACUCUGUUGGUAGAGAAGAACGUUGGUGAGAGUGGAAAGCGCAUCAAGUGACGGUAACUACCCAGAAAGGGACGGCUAACUACGUG
RNAcentral lists this ribosomal RNA (497 nucleotides) under uncultured bacterium. RNAcentral's name for it is "partial 16S ribosomal RNA". It matches the Rfam family "Bacterial small subunit ribosomal RNA", at positions 28 to 507 of the family's 1533-position model. The record is from RNAcentral.